CAGCAGCAGCCACGGGAAUACAGAGGGUGCAAGCGUUAAUCGGAAUUACUGGGCGUAAAGCGCGCGUAGGCGGCUUUUUAAGUCGGAUGUGAAAUCCCUGAGCUUAACUUAGGAAUUGCAUUCGAUACUGGGAAGCUAGAGUAUGGGAGAGGAUGGUAGAAUUCCAGGUGUAGCGGUGAAAUGCGUAGAGAUCUGGAGGAAUACCGAUGGCGAAGGCAGCCAUCUGGCCUAAUACUGACGCUGAGGUACGAAAGCAUGGGGAGCAAACAGGAUUAGAUACCCCUGUAGUCCCUGUCUCUUAUAA
Molecule: ribosomal RNA, 304 nt
Filed under: uncultured bacterium
Lineage: Bacteria
Description: partial 16S ribosomal RNA
Rfam family: Bacterial small subunit ribosomal RNA
Source: RNAcentral